UACGUAGGGUGCGAGCGUUGUCCGGAAUUAUUGGGCGUAAAGAGCUCGUAGGCGGUUUGUCGCGUCGACUGUGAAAAACCCGAGGCUUAACCUCGGGCCUGCAGUCGAUACGGGCAGACUAGAGUUCGGUAGGGGAGACUGGAAUUCCUGGUGUAGCGGUGAAAUGCGCAGAUAUCAGGAGGAACACCGGUGGCGAAAGGCGGGGUCUCUGGGGCCGAUACUGACGCUGAGGAGCGAAAAGCGUGGGGGAGCGAACAGG
RNAcentral lists this ribosomal RNA (259 nucleotides) under uncultured bacterium. RNAcentral's name for it is "partial 16S ribosomal RNA". It matches the Rfam family "Bacterial small subunit ribosomal RNA", at positions 524 to 776 of the family's 1533-position model. The record is from RNAcentral.